Molecule: ribosomal RNA, 497 nt
Filed under: uncultured bacterium
Lineage: Bacteria
Description: partial 16S ribosomal RNA
Rfam family: Bacterial small subunit ribosomal RNA
Source: RNAcentral
GAUGAACGCUGGCGGCGUGCCUAAUACAUGCAAGUCGAGCGAACAGACGAGGAGCUUGCUCCUCUGACGUUAGCGGCGGACGGGUGAGUAACACGUGGAUAACCUACCUAUAAGACUGGGAUCACUUCGGGAAACCGGAGCUAAUACCGGAUAAUAUAUUGAACCGCAUGGUUCAAUAGUGAAAGACGGUUUUGCUGUCACUUAUAGAUGGAUCCGCGCCGCAUUAGCUAGUUGGUAAGGUAACGGCUUACCAAGGCAACGAUGCGUAGCCGACCUGAGAGGGUGAUCGGCCACACUGGAACUGAGACACGGUCCAGACUCCUACGGGAGGCAGCAGUAGGGAAUCUUCCGCAAUGGGCGAAAGCUUGACGGAGCAACGCCGCGUGAGUGAUGAAGGUCUUCGGAUCGUAAAACUCUGUUAUUAGGGAAGAACAAAUGUGUAAGUAACUAUGCACGUCUUGACGGUACCUAAUCAGAAAGCCACGGCUAACUACGUG